This 590-nucleotide long non-coding RNA is filed under the name Salmo salar (Atlantic salmon). RNAcentral's name for it is "lncRNA (ENSSSAG00000098588.1)". Lineage: Eukaryota; Metazoa; Chordata; Actinopteri; Salmoniformes; Salmonidae. The record is from RNAcentral.
UCUCUCUCUCUCAUAUACAGUGGCAAGAAAAAGUAAGCGAACCCUUUGGAAUUACCCUGAUUUCUGCAUAAAUUGGUCAUCAAAUUUGAUCUGAUCUUUAUCUAACUUACAACAAUAGACAAACAUAGUCUGCUUAAACUAAUAGCACACAAAUUGUAUUUUUCUUGUCUAUAUUGUCACAGUGUUCAUUGAUUCUCCAGUCCCCCUGCCCUUUUUAAUACCCUCCACUUUACCAUCAGGCAGCUGGGAGAAAAUACCUUUUUUCCCAUUGAACCAAGGUAAGGGGAUCGGUAGAGAACCAAGGUAACGGGAUCGGUAGAGAACCAGGGUAAGGGGAUCGGCAGAGAACCAGGGUAAGGGGAUCGGCAGUGUAGCCGCUAUUUGCACUUACUCCUUUAGUGCGUACCAAAAGUUCCCAGAGUGACUUUUCCACCCCUGCUGGUAUAGGGUUCUUAAAGGUCACCAUGUACGGUACAGUACAUUAUCUCAGCCUGAGGAAGUGUCUAUGAUCCCUGUAACAUUAAAUGUACUGAAACAGAAAGGAGUGGUCUUCCUCGGUGGACAGUAAGGGAUGGGAGACACUAUUAACA